Molecule: ribosomal RNA, 581 nt
Filed under: Pseudosperma cf. rimosum EL-2010d
Lineage: Eukaryota; Fungi; Basidiomycota; Agaricomycetes; Agaricales; Inocybaceae
Source: RNAcentral
GUGAACUAGCUAACUGAAAUCACAAAAUCACAAAAAGUGCUUAUUGUGAUAAUGUAAGGGAAAAAAUUGAUAUCACCUUACUAUAAGUGUUGUCUAAAUAACUGGUGCCAGAAGACUCGGUAACACCAGAAACGCGAACGUUAGUCGUCUUAAACAGGCGUAAAGGGUAAGUAGGCUGCUUUAAACAUCUAUUUAAAAAAAAAGCUAAUUAAUAAAUUAACCUAAAUUUUUUCAGACCUGAAAUUAUAAUUUAAGGCUAACUAAUAAUGAAAAAGGUAAUUAUUAAAAAAAGAUAGAUACACUUAAAGCUAGAAUCAUAAUUGAGAUAAACCAAAUAAUACUUAUGUGUAAGGGCGAUAUCUGAAAAUACUAAGUAGAAUACUAACGGUGAAAACUUUUUAUCUAGGAAUGAUUGACGCUGAGGUACGAAAGUGAGAACAGGGAAUAGGAUGUGCGACUUGAAAGCUUAAAUAAUGUAUAGUAUUCUAAGAAUACAUUAUCAUUCGUCUGAUAAUAGCCGACCUAAACAUGCAUAACUAGUAAUGGUUUUGUGUGAAGCUUUAGGAAAAAGUUAUUUAAUU